UACUUCAACUUCAGCUUCACUUAGGGAGAC
This 30-nucleotide non-coding RNA is filed under the name Mus musculus (house mouse). The record is from RNAcentral. Lineage: Eukaryota; Metazoa; Chordata; Mammalia; Rodentia; Muridae.